GGAACAAUACAGGGGUCAGAGUGACAAAGAGACACGAAGUCAAAAAGAAGCCGCCGAUCGGAUGAAACGAAAUAACAGACAACGCGACCGUCAGAGAGUCAGAAAUUAUGCUCUGCGUGAUAAUGUUCUUCCUUGAUGGAAAUUUUUUUUUUUUUUUUUUUUUUUUUUUUU
This 171-nucleotide non-coding RNA is filed under the name Protocruzia adhaerens. The record is from RNAcentral. Lineage: Eukaryota; Ciliophora; Spirotrichea.